ACACUCUCAGCUCUGCUCAGUUGCACCUGAUUCCAGUGGUGCAGCUGUCGUUUUCGAGAGGGAAAGCAAAUGAGUUCAAAUUUGCACAGUUGCAGUGGUCUCUGUGUUCCUUAUCAAACUCAACAGAU
Molecule: small nucleolar RNA, 128 nt
Organism: Protobothrops mucrosquamatus (brown spotted pit viper)
Lineage: Eukaryota; Metazoa; Chordata; Lepidosauria; Squamata; Viperidae
Product: small nucleolar RNA SNORA64/SNORA10 family
Exons: 1
Source: RefSeq, a predicted model, not a curated record